AUACGUAGGGGGCAAGCGUUAUCCGGAUUUAUUGGGUUUAAAGGGUGCGCAGGCGGGAGAUUAAGUCGGCGGUGAAAUUUUGCAGCUCAACUGUAAAAGGGCCUUCGAAACUGGUUUCCUUGAGUGUAGAUGAAGUAGGCGGAAUUUGUGGUGGAGCGGUGAAAUGCAUAGAUAUCACGAGGAACUCCGAUUGCGCAGGCAGCUUACUAAACUACUACUGACGCUCAGGCACGAAGGCGUGGGGAUCAAACAUGAUUAGAUACCCUGGUAGUCCACGCAGUAAACGAUGAUUACUAGCUGUUUGCGAUACAAUGUAAGCGGCUGAGCGAAAGCGUUAAGUAAUCCACCUGGGGAGUACGGUCGCAAGAAUGAAACUCAAAGGAAUUGACGGGG
This 393-nucleotide ribosomal RNA is filed under the name uncultured bacterium. RNAcentral describes it as "partial 16S ribosomal RNA". It matches the Rfam family "Bacterial small subunit ribosomal RNA", at positions 523 to 918 of the family's 1533-position model. The record is from RNAcentral.